Zeugodacus cucurbitae (melon fly) is the source of this 1734-nucleotide long non-coding RNA. RefSeq lists it as uncharacterized. NCBI's taxonomy places the organism in Eukaryota, Metazoa, Arthropoda, Insecta, Diptera, Tephritidae. The transcript has 4 exons. The record is from RefSeq and is a predicted model, not a curated record.
CACAACAAAGGGUAAAAUGUGCAUAAACAUUUAACUCAACUCUUCUCUCAUACAGCACCCUGAAUGAUAGAAAGAAACAACCAAAGUUCUCGUGUUUGAACAAGUUUUGUUUUGAGCUAUAUCAUGGCUGCUUGUGAAGUAUUAUUUUGCGUGUUUUAUUUAAUUCAGUGAUCUGCAGCCUAAUUAAAGUAUACAUUAUUGAAGCACGCAUUUUUAAAUAAGUAAAACGUAAAAUAAAAGUUUUCUAAGGCCAAAAUAUGGAAUUGAAGAGGGUGAUACAGUAAUACUUCAUUGCACUAUCAAUUCGAAGCACGCAAUAGAAGCCAACAAUUGUCAACAUCAAUGGCGAAACGUAUAAUAAUAUUAUUGUAACGAAAAUGGCACCAGAACAAACUAGAAUAGACAAUCGAAAUCGAUAAUUUGCCAGAUCUAUCUAGACAUCGAUAUUCGUAGUUGCCAGAAUGUUCGAGUGACGAUAAGAUGCUAGCAAUCGACUAUAUAAGGGCUGCCGGCCUUGCAGCAAGACACAGUUCUGAUAAGAGAGUUGUCGAGUGUGGACAAUUCUAAGGAGAGAGUUGUCGAGCAAAGUGUAAACAAGUUAUAACCCUUAACCUGGCCAUGUGACAGAAAUGUUACAAACCCUUUUUUCGACUGUAAUUUUACCAUUCUUAUUUGAUAUAGUCAUAUUGGUUUUUGUAACACAACUGGUACAAACUGUGAAUAGUAUAAAAGUAAUAAGAUAGAGCGAGACAUCCCUAUUGUAACGUAUUUUUGUGCCAAAAGUGUAGUGCAUUAAGUUUGGUGAUUUCACAACAAGUGCUGAAAUUGGUGACGAAAAGCGGUUUUUGUGAAUGUGAAAAACGUGUUUAUUUGUUUAAAUACAUUGGAUAUUUCAAACCACAUAUGGCGCGUUAAAGGUACGCAAACUUAUUGGUGUCACUUAUUGUAGCAGCGUAGAACUUUCGAAGCGAUGGAAUAUGUGCUGCAAGCAAAUGGACGCAAACGCUGCUACAUGGAACACAAAUCAUUCACACACCAGAUAUUACGUUUAAUGUGACUUUUUUGCGUGCAAUUAAACCUUUUGGUCAACACAAGCACGAGAAUUGGAACGACAUGGUUUAGGUGCUCUUGAAACCGUUUAUUAUCACGACGCGUGUCAACUGGGUUUUGCCAAUGAGCUAGAGGGCAAAGCAGUUUCAGUAUCUUUAAGCUUACCGGCACUUGGCCGUGCCAUUAGCAGCUAAAACACAGAAAUUAAAGGGAGGACUUUUUUGAUUCAUUUUCACCUUGUAUUGAGCAAUCAUAACAAUGUUGUAUCGCUUUACAAGGACAUAAAUUCACCGAAAUUAAUUCAAUAGAAAUACUACAGCAAGAGCAUGGAUGUCAAGACUUGAACGGUGCCGUGUUAGAUUUAGAAUUCCUGAAAUAUAAGAAACCCUCCUCCCAGAUGAAUCUAGUACUAGUGAAAUUAAUAAAAGAAUAAAAGAACAGAUCUUAUAACAACUCCGAAAGAAACCAAAAGAGUCCUCACAUAAUGUGCGCAGCUUACACUUCCAGACCGCACGGGGUAUUUGACAUUUUCCACUCUUCCUCCAGCCUUUGUCCGAUAGCAAAAAUUGUUCAAAUAUUCAUUUUCACCCACUUUAUACAUAUGUAUAUAGUGUAGUAUGAUAAUAUAUAUAUAAAGUAAAUAUAAUAAUAAACAACUAAAUGGCAUGAUAUUUUCAAUAAAUA